Molecule: non-coding RNA, 741 nt
Organism: Triticum urartu
Lineage: Eukaryota; Viridiplantae; Streptophyta; Magnoliopsida; Poales; Poaceae
Source: RefSeq, a predicted model, not a curated record
CUCUCUCUCUCUCUCUCUCUCUCUCUCUCUCUCUCUGACAGCAUCUUUCUCUGUUGACCAGGGCCCGGCUCCUCAGGCGGCAAGGUGCUCCGGCGUGCCCCUGCUGAUCUCCUGCUCGUGGAACAACUACAUCAGCAGGAACACAUGCUGCAUCUGGUUUUGGUUCCCCUCCCUCCCACAAUUGCAUCUUCAGAACACCUGCAUCACACAUAUACACACAGUGCUCAGGGUUCAUAAAAAGGGGAACACCGCACCCCGCACACACCGCCGACCGAAUUCCCACCGUACUGCCUGGGCAGCGCUGGCGCCGUUGUGCGUGGGGAAACCAGCACUGUACCAUGGUUUAUCUACACUCUUCUCAGCCUGGGAAUCAUCAUGUGCUUGCUGACCUGCUCUGGCCACAUCGCCGCUGAAACUGCAAACAGCCCCUGCCUGUCUUGUGACGUGAUCUUUGUAUUCUUGCUUGUGAUACUCGAAGCUGCAAUCGCCGCCGAUGUAUUUCUGAAUAGCUACUGGGAGGAGGACAAAUCCCACCAGACUUGGCUCUAAUUGAAGUUAUCAUAAGAGUUUGCAUCGUGGAUGCCGUUGACGGUGGGCAUACAUGCUAUAGUGGAGCUCAUUGCAUCUUUGAGCUUCAUGCUUUGUGUGAACUUGGAACUCGUGCUUUUGUUUGUGAACCUUGUUGGAUAUGUACGCAUGUGUGGACUCGGAACUUAUGGUCCUUUUUUUUUGCGAACUAUU